This is a long non-coding RNA of Pleuronectes platessa (European plaice), 973 nucleotides long. RefSeq lists it as uncharacterized. The record is from RefSeq and is a predicted model, not a curated record. Lineage: Eukaryota; Metazoa; Chordata; Actinopteri; Pleuronectiformes; Pleuronectidae. The transcript is spliced from 6 exons.
GGACAUCCUGUGAUGACUACAACGGCGCUACGGAAAAGGGUCCUGAGGUGAGGAUUGAUGCAGGGGAAAUCCUGACUGACUGAAACACGUCUGAUGACGUCCGCUCUCCUUCCUCCUUCUUUUGCCCCCUGCCUCUUCAGUUUUCUCCUCCUCAGUCUCCCCUUCUCUUGUGCCACAGGAUAUAGAGCUGAAAUGAUAAUCGUAAGAGUGGAGAAAGUGGAAACAGCACUGAGAUCCAGGAAACGUCUGGGAAGAUAAGCAGGAUGAUGAGACAGAAGCCACUUGGGUGCCUGCUCUUAACAGGGCUACUGGAUGUAACACACACAUACAGAUGCAGCUGCUGUCCUCUUUCGGAUCAAUCAGGAAUGUAGCUGCUGGGCUGUGAGGACACGACAUGAAGGUGGACUCACCAAAUGUGUGUGUGUGUGUGUGUGUGUGUGUGUGUGUGUGUGUGUGUGUCAUGUAAAAAUGAAUCAUCUUUAAUGUUAUCAGUUCAUACCCACUUUGAGGCUACGUUUUUCGCUCCAACAUAAUUCUUCUGGCUGUGUUACAUUGUACUGUAAAUGUUGUGUAUUACCUAUUUCGAUGUGGAAAUUCGGACAAAUAUUUCUGUGUAAUAACUCGGCCAACAUCACAGCCUGUAAUUUGAUAAAUGUUUAUUAACGUGGAGAUUAAUUUAAAUUAUUUUGUGCGUAAGGAUAUUCCAGAAAUCUAAAUGACUUUGUGUACAUUUUAUUUUGUGACAGAUCACAUUUUAUAAAUGUAUUCUUACUUUGAAUGGCUGGUCAGUGAUCAGUUUCAUUUUCAUCCCGUUUGCAAAUGUUGCACAAGUUACUGCUGCUGCCUUCCCCGGUCUCCUCCAUCUCUCUCCACUUGUGUCAGAGAAUCUGAGCAGCUGCAUGACGACUUUCAGCAUGUGGACUCAGUUUCAUACUCUCCAUCCUCUGCUGAGUACACGACAAGCUUUACUUAG